This 88-nucleotide transfer RNA is filed under the name Aurantibacter aestuarii. RNAcentral's name for it is "Mesoflavibacter aestuarii tRNA-Leu". It matches the Rfam family "tRNA". Rfam says of the family: Transfer RNA (tRNA) molecules are approximately 80 nucleotides in length. The record is from RNAcentral. Lineage: Bacteria; Pseudomonadati; Bacteroidota; Flavobacteriia; Flavobacteriales; Flavobacteriaceae.
GCUGAAGUGGUGGAAUUGGUAGACACGUUGGACUUAAAAUCCAAUGUCCGUUUAGGACGUACGGGUUCAAGUCCCGUCUUCAGUACAA